Molecule: non-coding RNA, 68 nt
Organism: Podarcis lilfordi (Lilford's wall lizard)
Lineage: Eukaryota; Metazoa; Chordata; Lepidosauria; Squamata; Lacertidae
Source: the annotation of a GenBank genome assembly
GCCGUAGUUCAGUGGCAGAGCACCUGCUUUGCACGCAGAAGGUCCUGUGUUUGAUCCCAGGCAGACUG